UGAAUUCAGUUCAUUCUUGUCUACGUCCCUCUCGACGUAUGUGCGCAUGAAUUCGUGGAAUUGCAAGCAGAGAAACUUUGGUGUGAGCCCAUUAAACGUGCAACUAUUCAAAGGUGGUGAAACUAUAUUUAACUGCAAAUGGCUGUGCGAGUUUCACCAAAUGUUGGAGCCGAAAACGUGUAUUCUUUCUGAAUGGCAGGUGAAUUUUCGGUAAUAAGGUAUUUUUGAUUAAUAUAUAUUAAUAUUUUGAAUCUCCAUUAAAGACAAACACGGUAAGGAA
Molecule: long non-coding RNA, 280 nt
Organism: Daphnia magna
Lineage: Eukaryota; Metazoa; Arthropoda; Branchiopoda; Diplostraca; Daphniidae
Exons: 2
Source: RefSeq, a predicted model, not a curated record